This 499-nucleotide ribosomal RNA is filed under the name uncultured bacterium. RNAcentral's name for it is "partial 16S ribosomal RNA". It matches the Rfam family "Bacterial small subunit ribosomal RNA", at positions 28 to 506 of the family's 1533-position model. The record is from RNAcentral.
GACGAACGCUGGCGGCGUGCCUAAUACAUGCAAGUCGAGCGGACUGAUUAAGAGCUUGCUCUUAUGACGUUAGCGGCGGACGGGUGAGUAACACGUGGGCAACCUGCCCUGUAGAUCGGGAUAACACCGAGAAAUCGGUGCUAAUACCGGGUAAUAUCUGAGAUCACAUGAUCUUAGGUUAAAAGAUGGCUCCGGCUAUCACUACAGGAUGGGCCCGCGGCGCAUUAGCUAGUUGGUAAGGUAAUGGCUUACCAAGGCGACGAUGCGUAGCCGACCUGAGAGGGUGAUCGGCCACACUGGGACUGAGACACGGCCCAGACUCCUACGGGAGGCAGCAGUAGGGAAUCUUCCGCAAUGGACGAAAGUCUGACGGAGCAACGCCGCGUGAGUGAUGAAGGGUUUCGGCUCGUAAAGCUCUGUUGUUAGGGAAGAAACAGUACCGAACGAACUAGGUCGGUACCUUGACGGUACCUAACCAGAAAGCCACGGCUAACUACGU